CCUACGGGGGGCAGCAGUGGGGAAUAUUGCACAAUGGGCGCAAGCCUGAUGCAGCCAUGCCGAGUGUGUGAAGAAGGCCUUCGGGUUGUAAAGCACUUUCAGCGGGGAGGAAGGCGGUGAGGUUAAUAACCUCAUCGAUUGACGUUACCCGCAGAAGAAGCACCGGCUAACUCCGUGCCAGCAGCCGCGGUAAUACGGAGGGUGCAAGCGUUAAUCGGAAUUACUGGGCGUAAAGCGCACGCAGGCGGUCUGUCAAGUCGGAUGUGAAAUCCCCGGGCUCAACCUGGGAACUGCAUUCGAAACUGGCAGGCUAGAGUCUUGUAGAGGGGGGUAGAAUUCCAGGUGUAGCGGUGAAAUGCGUAGAGAUCUGGAGGAAUACCGGUGGCGAAGGCGGCCCCCUGGACAAAGACUGACGCUCAGGUGCGAAAGCGUGGGGAGCAAACAGGAUUAGAUACCCUUGUAGUC
RNAcentral lists this ribosomal RNA (465 nucleotides) under uncultured Klebsiella sp. RNAcentral's name for it is "bacterial SSU rRNA". It matches the Rfam family "Bacterial small subunit ribosomal RNA", at positions 338 to 795 of the family's 1533-position model. Lineage: Bacteria; Pseudomonadati; Pseudomonadota; Gammaproteobacteria; Enterobacterales; Enterobacteriaceae. The record is from RNAcentral.